Molecule: ribosomal RNA, 425 nt
Filed under: uncultured bacterium
Lineage: Bacteria
Description: partial 16S ribosomal RNA
Rfam family: Bacterial small subunit ribosomal RNA
Source: RNAcentral
GUGGGGAAUCUUGCGCAAUGGGCGAAAGCCUGACGCAGCCAUGCCGCGUGGAUGAUGAAGGUCUUAGGAUUGUAAAAUCCUUUCACCGGUGAAGAUAAUGACUGUAGCCGGAGAAGAAGCCCCGGCUAACUUCGUGCCAGCAGCCGCGGUAAUACGAAGGGGGCUAGCGUUGCUCGGAUUUACUGGGCGUAAAGGGCGCGUAGGCGGACAGUUAAGUUGGGGGUGAAAGCCCGGGGCUCAACCUCGGAACUGCCUUCAAUACUGGCUGUCUUGAGUAUGAGAGAGGUGUGUGGAACUCCGAGUGUAGAGGUGAAAUUCGUAGAUAUUCGGAAGAACACCAGUGGCGAAGGCGACACACUGGCUCAUUACUGACGCUGAGGCGCGAAAGCGUGGGGAGCAAACAGGAUUAGAUACCCUUGUAGUCC